Coturnix japonica (Japanese quail) is the source of this 1110-nucleotide non-coding RNA. Lineage: Eukaryota; Metazoa; Chordata; Aves; Galliformes; Phasianidae. The record is from RefSeq and is a predicted model, not a curated record.
GUUGUGAGUGAGAUGGUCGAACUGUGGGCUCCAGAGCAUCCAGGGUGGGUUGCUGGGAGGCAGCCAUGGAGAAUCAAACUGUUGAAGAUGCAGUCAUGAAGUAACACUAAUGCCAGGGUUUUGUCCUUCCUCUUAAAACUGACUUAUAGGGCUGGUGGGCUGGCUGCUGAAACGAUAGGGCUAAUCAUGGGCACAUCCAGUUGUGGCAGUUUUCCCCAGACUUUGCUUUUGGGAAAUGAUGAAACAAGCAGGCAAAUGGGUUAAUGGGCAUCUCUACAUUGCACCAAGCCUUUUACAUUCUUGAGUUUACCUUCCUUGCUUUAGUAAUCAUAGGAAGUGUCACCAUUACACCCGCUGCUUCCCAGGGAGAAUUUCACCAUGUCAUCUUAGAUCUUCUUCCACGUAUUCAUUCAUGGAUGAGGAGGGAGGAUGAUACCUGCUUUGUUUAGCCACUGCAGAGCCAUGAUUUCACUGUGCUGGCAUAUUGAGUUGCAGUCAUGUGUCACAGAUCUUUUUGCUUGUCACCUCCCAUGUUCUCGCUGCUCAUUGUCACUUUGAAAUUAAUUCAUGCCAAAUUAUUUACUCCACCCAGUGUUCUUCUGCUCACCUGGUGCUUCCUUUGGGGAGAGGAUGGAGAGGGGAAAAACAAACCCAACAGCUGUUCCCUAAACCGGAGAUUGUGACAAGAAGAGGAAACAGCACAGCAUAAGCGAUCUCUCCUGAUAAAGAUCUUGUGAGCAGAGAAGAGCAGAGGAAGUGGGACACGUGUGACGAUGAUUCCUAUGACGAUGCAUCAUCUAUAGGAUUGCCUUAAGGGUGAUAGAGGUCCACCUGUACUGCAGCCGUAAUCCAUCCAGCAGUGCACAGAUACCAAAUCCCAAAGCAUGGAGUGAGGUGGAGCCUCCUAUGAAGGCAGCAGCCUCUCCAGAUAUCCUGCCAAGCUGAGCUUGGACUUUGCGGGUGAGUGGACAGCUGCAUUUCCUCCUGUAAUUGGGACACCCACCUGUGUAGAAGCACAUGCCCUUCCUGUGCAACAACUGUUGUGUUGGCUGUUGGGGUUUUGCAGCCAUGUUGGAUUUCAAAGCAGCAGUGGUGGUGGUGGUUGUUUUU